RNAcentral lists this ribosomal RNA (468 nucleotides) under uncultured bacterium. RNAcentral describes it as "partial 16S ribosomal RNA". It matches the Rfam family "Bacterial small subunit ribosomal RNA", at positions 28 to 507 of the family's 1533-position model. The record is from RNAcentral.
GACGAACGCUGGCGGCGUGCUUAACACAUGCAAGUCGAACGGAAAGGCCCUGCUUUUGUGGGGUGCUCGAGUGGCGAACGGGUGAGUAACACGUGAGUAACCUGCCCUUGACUUUCGGAUAACUUCAGGAAACUGGGGCUAAUACCGGAUAGGAUCUCCUGCUGCAUGGUGGGGGUUGGAAAGUUUCGGCGGUUGGGGCUGGACUCGCGGCUUAUCAGCUUGUUGGUGGGGUAGUGGCUUACCAAGGCUUUGACGGGUAGCCGGCCUGAGAGGGUGACCGGCCACAAGGGGACUGAGAUACGGACCAGACGCCUACGGGAGGCAGCAGGGGGGAAUAUUGCACAAUGGGCGGAAGCCUGAUGCAGCAACGCCGCGUGCGGGAUGACGGCCUUCGGGGUGUAAACCGCUGUCGCCUGUGACGAAGCGGGAGUGACGGUAAUGGGUAAAGAAGCACCGGCUAACUACGUG